RNA transcript from Chroicocephalus ridibundus (black-headed gull), 3801 nucleotides. It is a transcript of the gene named TAFA chemokine like family member 2, with no coding region annotated. The transcript has 7 exons. NCBI's taxonomy places the organism in Eukaryota, Metazoa, Chordata, Aves, Charadriiformes, Laridae. The record is from RefSeq and is a predicted model, not a curated record.
UGCCGGCGGAGCCCCCCCGCCCCCUCCUCGGUCAGACAGAGCGGCGGCCGCGGGGACCCGCUGCCUCGUCAAGGGGCUGGGGAGGAGAGCGGCGAGGAGCCGGAUAAACACCGGGGAGGAGAAGAGCGUCCCUCCCAUCCCGUUUCCCCUCCCGGCAGGGCGCGCUUGGAGCUGCCUCCGCUUGUCCGGCCGCCCGGGGCGGCUCCGCGCCCCUCUGCGGUGCGGUGCGCUCAGGUUGGGCGCGGGGCGGCUGCUGCUGCUGCUGAAGGUGAAGCUCUCGCUCUCCAAUUACUUUUCCCAAGAGGGAGAAGGAGGCAGCAGGAGGGGGAAGUCGUGCUGUGUGCGAGCGGCAAACCAAUCAGAGAUGCUCUAACGGAGGGAUUGCUGCAGGACGCGCCGGCUUUUCCUCCCUUCCUCUGCCGGCGGCGCUGAAUCGGGACCGCACGCAGCUGGCGGAGGGGCCGGAGCCGCACCGGGCUGCAGGACUUCCUCACCCUCCGCUUUUCCGAUACCUAAUCCAUACUUCGUCCUCUUUUCAUUUUUUUUUUUUUAAUACUCUGAAAUCGUGCUCGAGAAACACUUCAAGUCUUCCUUCCCUUCCCUUUCCACUUACUUCGCCCUUCCUCCAGCAUCUCUUAACCGGAUUCCUGGUGUAUUCCAAGAGAGAGGCGGGGGGGAGACCCGGGCGCCGGCGGAGGGCUGCCUGCCCCAGCCCGGCCGAGCGGAGCCGAGCGGAGCGCGGUGCCGCUCCAUGCCCCCGGGCGCUGGCGGGGCGCGGGGCGUCUGCCGGCGAUGCCCGGGCGGUAAGGCUGGAGCCGGAGCUCCCCCGCGACGGGAGGCGGCCGAUCCCUAGGUGUUUCCAGCAGGAAGCGGGGCUGCAGGAUGAAUAAGAGAUACUUACAGAAAGCAACAAAAGGAAAACUGCUAAUAAUAAUAUUUGUUGUAACGCUGUGGGGGAAAUUAGCAUCUGGGGCAAAUCACCAUAAAGCUCACCAUGUUAAAACUGGGACCUGUGAAGUGGUGGCACUGCACAGAUGUUGCAAUAAGAACAAGAUAGAAGAAAGAUCACAGACGGUGAAGUGCUCCUGCUUCCCUGGGCAGGUAGCAGGUACCACCCGGGCAGCUCCUUCUUGUGUUGAUGCUUCAAUAGUGGAGCAGAAAUGGUGGUGCCACAUGCAACCAUGUCUUGAAGGGGAGGAAUGUAAAGUUCUUCCAGAUCGUAAGGGAUGGAGCUGUUCCUCUGGGAAUAAAGUAAAAACAACAAGGCUGUGGCAGUAUUCCUGGAGCCAAAUGUGAGUGCACUACCUCAAAAUGCCAGCAGUGGAAGCUGGUAAGCAAGUGGGGAAAUAUCACCAGAGGAAUCUCUGAAGCUUGGGACAAAGGCAGAAAACACAUCAGUACUGCACUAACAGAGCAGCAGGUACCCUCAUAGAGAAGAUAAAAUUACAGGCAAACGUGUAAAACUCCUCAAGUCCGAAUGGAGAAGUAGAGAAAGGAGGUUUCUGCUGUGCCUGAUGACAAUUUUUGAUUUUUCCACACACACAAAAUAUUCUGGCUCCACGUUGGAGCACUAGUUGUGAUGAAUCCUAGUCUUGGUCGGAUUCUAAGGAAGGGCCAGAACGUUCGUUGAGGAAUAAAGAGUCAAACCACUCCAGAAAAUGUGUUCCAGCCCUGGUUUAUUACUCACAGAGCAGCAGGUAACCCGAUAGCUAAAGACAAAUCAAGUCAGUCUCAAGGCUGAUAACAUUAAAUACAACACAUAGGAAUUUCAUUCCUCCAGGCAAUCCUUGAAGUGAAAUUUUAUACUGCUGGGUGUAUCCUUCAGAGCCAAUUGUUUCAAUGAGAACCUGGCUUGUAAUCAGCAACAGCCUUGAUAUCAAAACUACUGGAAAGUUAUUUUGAACUUCAGUGUCACAAAGAUUUCAACUGUUUGAACUGUGUACACUUGUAAAAUUGCACUUGCUGAGGAAUUUGCAGCUGUAAUCACAAGAGCUGAUAUUCAAAAGGUGCAGAAAAGCAGCAAUCUUUUGGAUUCUCCAUUCCAGACUGAUGGCUUUUCAUCUUGAUGAAGUCAACCUCCAAAAUGUAUUGGUUCCUUCUCGCUAAAAUGAUCCCUGGUCUGCCGUUCAGAUUGCUGGUGGGACUGCACACUGCUUUAAUUAAAUUUCUGUUGCAGAAAUUGUCCUCUGGCAUGGCGCAGUUUUAGACAUUUUUAUUUGUAUUCUAAUCUUGGAGCUCUCAAAGGUACAUAUUUCAACAUCUUGAAGUUGCUUUUGUUAUAGGAAUGGAAAUAUAUAUCCAUUGUUAAUAAUUAUUGUUGACAAGUAAUAGUUAUCUGAAUACAUCAGUCAUAUUAGAAUGUAUAGUCGGGUUGACAUGUUUCCCUAAGGCUAACCACCUACUGCAGCUCUUCGGCAGUUAAAAAAGUAGUGGUCAAAACUCAAUUACCACUUCCAUUAUAAGGCAUUUUAUACCUUUAAGAUAUACAUUUCCAUUUGGUUUGAAGGAGAUGGGUGUUCCUGGUAUGUACUUUACUUUCCCAACCUUUAAUUGAUUGAAAUUCAUGCUAAGCAGUCAAUUUCAUCCCUUUUUAUAAAGGUAGGCAGGGAUGUAAAUGAGUUUUGCAAUUAUGAAAUUGGAUGGUAAUCAUUCAGAAUUUUUGUCUUUUUAUUAAAAAAUAAAAUCUCUUGCUUGAACCUAAGUACUGUUGGAUGCUUAUGUAGAUGUCUGCUCAGUCUGUUUGCUAUAAAGGAAAAACGGCCUAGUGCCCUCCCAGAUUUACAGUUUGUGGGUAUUUUGCUUGCUUACAGUCAUCCAAUUCAGAUCUGAUCCUUGCCAAAAUCGCAUUUACUUUUUAAUUUUUUGUUUCAGUAGCAAUUUUCGAACUUUGUGAUGUGCUGUUACAUGAAAAAAGAUCCUCAAUAUUUAAAGGCCUUAAGCAUCUACGAGCUUUUUUCUAAGUUAUUACAGAAUGUAUAAUUUUAUACUCCGUUUAAUGUAUAUUGUACCACCUGUAAUAUGGAUACAACAGAAAUUUGGCGAUUCCUUGUAGUGACGCUGCAUAAGCAUGCUGCCUGGAGAGGGUGAGGGAGCUCUGACUGUGUGCUUUGGUGCAUUGGAAUGAAAACCACACACAGUUAAUGGUAGGCAAAACUAUAUAGGGGCGAGCUUAUUUAAAGAAGUCCUGUGUGGUUACCAGACUCCCAGAAAAAGAGGGAAGUGAUUUUAUCAUUACAAGCCAUUGACAUGGCUAGGUAGUUAUAUAUUAAGUUCCAUGAUGGAUGAACACCCUGGAGUGCUCUGCCUGUCACAGUAGCCCCUGCUGUUCCAAAACCAUUUCAUUACCUCUGCUGUAUUAUUGCACAGGAGAGCUUAAAUAAAAUAAAUGACUGUUGGGAAUAAAAUUGAGAAGUAUCUUCUAUCAUUCUGCUGAGAAAUAAUAAAAAAUGUUGGCAGGGAAAGAUAUUCUUUUCUGAUUAAAAUUUAAUUAGGGUAAACUGUUUGUAGCAGCCACUAGGUAUCUCAGUAUUUUAGGAUGGAUUAAUAUUGUAUGGAUUUGUGCUAACCAGUGCAGGACAGAAGGUAGCAUCUUAAAGAAAUUGUCCGGGACAGUGCAAAGUGUAAAUGUGCUGUUUUGUAAAAUCUGAAUUUGGCCUCUCUUUGGUCAAAACUCUACAUCAUGCUUCUCAAUAAUUGUUUUCUUUGUUUCUUUGUUCUUAAACCAACACUGAAGAUACUGUAUUAUAUACAAGUGUAACACAUGCAUACCAAUAAGUGAAAAUAAAUGGAUUUUCAAAUAUA